GGAUGCUAUCAUACCAGCACUAAAGCACCGGAUCCCAUUAGAACUCCGAAGUUAAGCGUGCUUGGGCGAGAGUAGUACUAGGAUGGGUGACCUCCUGGGAAGUCCUCGUGUUGCAUUCC
Molecule: ribosomal RNA, 119 nt
Filed under: Triticum aestivum (bread wheat)
Lineage: Eukaryota; Viridiplantae; Streptophyta; Magnoliopsida; Poales; Poaceae
Also listed under: 1 other name
Source: RNAcentral